GCACAAGGGCGAGCUGGAGCACUAGUGGAGUUGGCGGGAAAGGCACGGCUGCGGGCGCCCCCUGUCCGCACGGAGGAGCCGAAGUCCCGCAGGGUGGGGUCCCCGCCUGCGCCGAGAGGGCCACCUGGUCGAGAGAACAGGCGACACGGAAACCUGAGAAACUCCUCUGUCUGGUGCACCUAACCCUCUUCCUCAUAAAGUGCACACGAACUCUGGUUUUUCCGUUGCAAAUUUUGCUUUCUACAUAGACCAUACCAUUCGUUGCUCUCUGAGGAUGAGGUAACUUCUCUGAGCUUAGCUGACAUGAGCAUUGGCAGAAAUGCUUCUCGUAAUCUGGAUAACUUACGUUAGAAUUAGUAAGCAGUUAUUUUUCAUAGCCUGAAACGUCCUGUUGUGAUAUUUCAGCUCCUGGCUUCCCAGUCCAGCAGAAGUAUCUACAUCUAUUUCUGGAAAGGACCUGAACUUGGCUUCUCGUCCUUCUGGAAAGUGAGGCGAAAAUGCCAGGCUGCGCAGCUAUCCUGAGGCCCGGCCUGGAACCUGGCUAGCCACCCAGUCCUGAUACCUCAUCUCCUUUCUGUUGGAUAAAGUCAUUGGAUAAGAUCCCCCAGGGUCUUCUUAAUACUGAACAUCUGUUCAUAAUCACAUAAGUGACCAAGUAUAGUGGAAAACCCGAAUGGUCAACUGAGCUGAGCAGUGGGAGAGAGCGCAGGGUGAGCUCACCUACACCUGAGCAAGAAGCCGGGGCUAAAUACGUGGAAAUCACUGAGAUGGAUUUUGAUACAGGGCAGAAAGAAGAGUAAAAUCAUCUCAUAUUACUUUCCACCUGAAGCUCUGAGCCGAAAGAGUUAUUUGCUCAAACACUCUGAAAUGGGGAGGGACAGAGCUCUGACCCCUCCGUCCAGGCCUGUUUGUUGUUUUUUUUUUUUGUUUGUUUUGUUUUUUUUUUUUUGUGAGACGGAGUUUCAUUCUUGUUGCCCAGGCUGGAGUGCCAUGGCGCGAUCUCGGCUCACCGCAAACUCCGCCUCCUGGGUUCAAGCGAUUCUCCUGCCUCAGCCUCCGGAGUAGCUGGGAUUACAGGCAUGCGCCACCAUGCCCGGCUAAUUUUUUUUUUUUUUUUUUUUUUUUUAGUAGAGACGGGGUUUCUCCAUGUUGAUCAUGCUGGUCUCAAACUCCAGAUCUCAGGCCCGCCUCGGCCUCCCAAAGUGCUGGGAUUACAGGCGUGAGCCACCGCGCUCGCCCCGUCAGGACUCUUUCUUGAGGUUUUGUCUUCUGUUCCUUGGUAGGAAAUUAUGUUUGAAACUUUAAUCAAAUAAUAGCAUUGUCUUAUUUGGUGAUAAUUGGAACAUAACUAAUAACUGGGUUUCUUUGGCUCACGAUACGUAUGAGGUUUUUUGCUGCCAUUUUAACAAUUAUUUUAAAUUUUCAAAUUUGGAUGUUUUCCAGUUCAGUUUUUUGGGUUUUUUGUUUGUUUGUUUUUUGAGAUGGAGUCUCGCUCUGUCGCCGAGGCUGGAUGCAGUGGCACGAUUUUGGCUCCCCGCAACCUCCACCUCCUGGGUUCAAGCAAUUCUCCUGCCUCAGCCUCCCGAGUAGCUGGGACCACAGGCACGUGGCACCACUCUCAGCUAAUUUUUUGUGUUUUUACUAGAGACGGUGUUUCACCGUGUUAGCCAGGAUGGUCUCAAUCUCCUGAACUCGCGAUCUGCCUGCCUUGGCCUCCCAAAGUGCUGGGAUUACAGGUGUGAGCCACCUAUCCCGGCCCCAGUUCAGUUAUUUUUAAAUGUAAUCCAUUGUCUGUAAAUACUCUCUUAGUAGAAUUUUCAGCAGAAAUUCUGAAAACCUGCAUUCUUAUUGUGCUAGCUGUAACCUGAGACUUCAUAACUUAGAGGUUUAACUUAUUGGUAUGGCUGUGUGCGACAAAUAGACAAAAGCACAAUUGCCCUGCUCCCUGGGGUGUGAUCAGCCACCGCUGUAGUACUGCCUGGAGGUGACUGUGCAUAUUUUAAGUGAACAUAUACAGCGGCAUUCAUGUUUUACUAAUGCUCAAAGAUGACUGGAAAUUCAAUGAAGGAAUUUCAUUGAGAAGUACAAUUGUAAUUUUGUACAAGUGUGAUUUUUUUUUUAUAACAAAUCUGGUACAUCUUUUUCUUAGGCUUACCUCAUCCUUUAAGUAUUUGAGGAACUGGUGAACAAGUUAACUACUUUGAUAGUAAACGAGGAAAUUUCUUUAUAGAGAAAAGCAAAAUGUGGCCCAGCAGGUAUGUGAAAAAUGGCUGAUGUGACUAGAACUAAGGAAACAAAUGGUUAAGAUAAUAUUAGACAAAAGUAAUGGAAAUUUUUUUUUUUUGGAAAACAGUAUGGAGGGUCCUCAAAAAAUUAAAAAUGGAACUUCCAUGUGAACCAGCCAUCCCACUUCUGGGUAUAUACCCAAAGAAAAUGAAAUUGGUAUCUAGAAGAGAUACCUGCACUCCCAUGUUUAUUGCAGCAUUAUUUACAGUAGCUAAGGUCAGGAAAUGACCUAGGUGUCCAGCAACAGAUGAAUGGAUCUUUUUUUUCUUUGGAAACAGAGUCUUACUCUGUUGCUCAGGCUGGAGCGCAGUGGUGCGAUCUCGGCACACUGCAACCUCCACCUCCUGGGUUCAAGCAAUCCUCCUGCCUCAGCCUCCCAAGUAGCUGGAAGUUCAGGCAGGCACCACCAUGCCCGGCUAAUUUUUGUAUUUUCGGUAGAGACGAGGUUUCACCAUGUUGGCCAGGCUGGUCUUGAACUCCUGACCUCAGGUUAUCUGCCCACCUCAGCCUUCCAAAGUGCUAGGAUUACAGGUGUGAGCCACC
This 2829-nucleotide long non-coding RNA is filed under the name Homo sapiens (human). Its description in RNAcentral is "HSALNT0346889". The record is from RNAcentral. Lineage: Eukaryota; Metazoa; Chordata; Mammalia; Primates; Hominidae.